CGUGCACAUAGCUGUGUUCCUCUGCGACGGUCACUGACAAAAUGCAUGCAGCAUGUUAUAGAUUCCGCAAUCCCAAAUACUUCACUUACUUCAGUGGAAGUUAAAGUUGGCGCCAGAUGACCACCAGGUCACCACUACCAUGUCUGACAAAUUAAACUAAACAUAAAUAGUUCAAUACAUUCUAAACUAAAGAGGGCAAAUUAGAAUAGCAGAUAGAAUGAACUAAAACAGUCAAAGAGUCAGAAAUGCUUUCAAAACGUAUAUAUUAUUUCAGGUCACAAUCAAUAAAAACAUAGAAGCUUAUGUAUACCUGGCUAGCACAGACAGACUGCUCGUCCUAGGCUAGAAUUUCUGAUUUUUUAAGGCGGAUCCAGAAAAAUCCCCAAAAGAGACCACAUUCAUUAAUGUUACACAUCUAACAAGACCAUUCCACCUUAAAUCUUAAACGAUGUAAAGAUGCAGGCCCCUUUUAAAAGUGAAUGAAACAGAACAGUAGGCACUCAAAACCACAAUAAUCAGAGCUAGAUCAUUGUAUCAUUGUACAAUACAACUCUUAAAGAACAGGCACAAAUGCAAACCAAACUAUGCUGGAAAAGCAAAAUCCGGGCAAGCCAGCAGACCAGGUGUAGCAUGGCUAGCAUCCUCAGGUUGAUCUCUUUGACCACGACGUUCCUCUUCUUCUAAAUCAGAUUCAGAUACCCCUUGCAUUUCUUCUUCUUCUUCAACGUCACAUGAUUCUUCUACUCGUGGAAUUUUGGGUAUCAAAAACCGAUCCAUUAUUGUGAAUUUGUUGAUACUACCGCUUCACUUUGACUUUGACAGUGCACUAGCUCUCUUUCUCCUUCAAUCGUCAGGAAACGUCAACGUUCACACAUGCGAUGUGUCUCUGUCGUGCUACGUAAACAAUCUGUUCAUUUCAAUCUGUUAUUAUUUUCUUUUGUGAUUGAAAUAUUAUUAUCACACAAUGAAUUAAAUUAAUAACGCAGAAUUAAAUUAAAUAACAAUAAUAAAUAAACCAUUAUUUUCUUGGGGU
Molecule: long non-coding RNA, 1033 nt
Organism: Clupea harengus (Atlantic herring)
Lineage: Eukaryota; Metazoa; Chordata; Actinopteri; Clupeiformes; Clupeidae
Source: Ensembl